This 497-nucleotide ribosomal RNA is filed under the name Arthrobacter ginsengisoli. Its description in RNAcentral is "bacterial SSU rRNA". It matches the Rfam family "Bacterial small subunit ribosomal RNA", at positions 369 to 876 of the family's 1533-position model. Lineage: Bacteria; Bacillati; Actinomycetota; Actinomycetes; Micrococcales; Micrococcaceae. The record is from RNAcentral.
CAAUGGGCGCAAGCCUGAUGCAGCGACGCCGCGUGAGGGAUGACGGCCUUCGGGUUGUAAACCUCUUUCAGUAGGGAAGAAGCGAAAGUGACGGUACCUGCAGAAGAAGCGCCGGCUAACUACGUGCCAGCAGCCGCGGUAAUACGUAGGGCGCAAGCGUUAUCCGGAAUUAUUGGGCGUAAAGAGCUCGUAGGCGGUUUGUCGCGUCUGCCGUGAAAGUCCGGGGCUCAACUCCGGAUCUGCGGUGGGUACGGGCAGACUAGAGUGAUGUAGGGGAGACUGGAAUUCCUGGUGUAGCGGUGAAAUGCGCAGAUAUCAGGAGGAACACCGAUGGCGAAGGCAGGUCUCUGGGCAUUAACUGACGCUGAGGAGCGAAAGCAUGGGGAGCGAACAGGAUUAGAUACCCUGGUAGUCCAUGCCGUAAACGUUGGGCACUAGUUGUGGGGGACAUUCCACGUUUUCCGCGCCGUAGCUAACGCAUUAAGUGCCCCGCCUGG